AAUAAUGUUUAUUACUUUAUUCCCACUCUACUACCUUUACUUUCUUUUCUUCAUACAUUUGACCAUUUGACCAUGUCACUGAUACUCCCUUAUCUACCUUCAUUAUUUUUUCUAUAGAUGGGAAGCCCAACACUCUUUGGCAACGUUCCGCCGUUUACCAGAGUCUACUACCCCUUCACAGACGACGACCAGUUGUUCAGUGCCCCUUUGGCGGCAG
This 217-nucleotide long non-coding RNA is filed under the name Brachypodium distachyon (stiff brome). RNAcentral's name for it is "long non-coding RNA (BDIS_LNC000231)". Lineage: Eukaryota; Viridiplantae; Streptophyta; Magnoliopsida; Poales; Poaceae. The record is from RNAcentral.